Panicum virgatum (switchgrass) is the source of this 1866-nucleotide long non-coding RNA. RefSeq lists it as uncharacterized. The transcript is spliced from 2 exons. Lineage: Eukaryota; Viridiplantae; Streptophyta; Magnoliopsida; Poales; Poaceae. The record is from RefSeq and is a predicted model, not a curated record.
UUGCACACCAACUUCUCUCUCCCUCUUAUCCCCUCCCCUCCUCUCUCUCUCCCUCUUAUCCCCUCCCUUACCUUGCUUGUUGCAUGGGGCUGCGGUGCACGACGUCGUGAGGCAGGGCGCGGCGGUGCAGAGCAUCGGAGGCGUGAGGGGCAGGGGCUGCGGUGGCGGCGCGACACGCGCGGCGUUGACGUGGGGUGCUGACGGAGCGAGGGGCGUGAGCCGAGGUGGCUACGGUGUAACACCAGUACCUCAGGAGCUCAAAAAUCGGACUCCGGAAGUGCUGGUCGUGACUGGUCAGACCGAUCGGGGCAACCGGUCUGACCAAUGUGUUGAAGUUCGCCGCGAAGAUGACCAGUACAGCGCUAACGACCUCCACCCGUCGCGUCGGCGAUCCUCGCCAUCCACGCCGAGGUCGGCCUUAUCCUCUUGUCUCUGGUGCCCCAUUCCUCCCGUCCCCUUUCCCUUUUUCCUCCUCUCAGUUAAAGUCGAGCCGAAGCAGACCGCCGCCACUGUCGUUGAUUCCUGCCAUCCCUGGCCGCCAAUCGUCGAUUCCUCCCACGCCCACCUCCGCAACCUCGUCUCGCACCUCCGUCGCCCCUCCUCAAGCUCGGUUGAGCCCUACCCCGGCCGGAAUCGGCCAUCUCCGGGCCGCCGGAGCGGCUGCUCCACCCGAAGCUCCACCCCAACGUAAGCCCCUCCCUCCGGCCCUCCUCCACCUGAAUCGAUGCCCAAAACAAGUUCAUGGUGAGUCACCGAAGCUCCCCGGACCCCUUUUCCGUUCGUUCCCACGCCACCGGGGCCACAACACCAUCGCGCCGCCACGGUUGCCCUGCUUGCACCGCCCGCGUGUCGCCAAGCCUCAACCGCCGCCAAGCCGCCGCUCAACUGCACACAUGGUGUGUGCCGCAUCGCGGUGAUGCUCCUCGACUUGACCCUGACCGCCCACCCUCGCCGGAGCAGCACCAGCGCCCCCACCGCCAGCCGCGCCGGCUAUGGCCAUGGCCGCAGCGUGCCCUGGCUCACCCAGGACCGGUCUGACUGGUAUUGGCAACCGGUCAGACCGGUUUGCAAUGGAGUCCCUGUUUUCAGUUUUGUUUUUGUUCGUCUGAUUCCUGUAAAAUCCGUAGAAAAUAGUAGAAAAAUGCUAAAAAUGCAAAACUAAUUUUGUUAGCUUCAUAUCUUCAUGCUCUGUAUGCAACAUCAAGAAUUAGCAUUUGCAACAACAAAGCAUGUUGAAAAAUUAAUUAUUCAUCCAUCAAUGAUGAGCAAAAAAAUACGAUGCAACAUUUGUUUCAUGUUGCAUGAAACAUUCUAAAUUCCUCGAUGAGAAUGCAACAUCCAGAUAAAACACUGUUGACACAAAAAUUUCCCCACCGGACGGAAACCCUGGCGCUCCAUGUACGCUAGGGCAGGGGAGAUAUGCUUCACUCCAGAUAAUUUUUAUUUGUUUUGCUUCUAUUUUAUAUUGUUAUAAGGUCCUUUUGGUCUGUAUAUCUUAAAAUGACUAGGUAAAGGCCCGUGCGAUGCUACAGGCACAUAAUUUUUAAAUAAAAUGAAAUAAUUUUAAAGAAAUAUAGUAAGAAGACAAUAUACAUAUUGUCUAAAUCAUAAGUACAACAUAAACUUGGUUGAACUUGUUCAAUAAAUUGGGCCACACAGAUCAUAUUUUUCCCAAUGUUACUGUACUUGUAUCAAUCUCCUACUAUGUUUGAAUGAAUUGCUGACGAAUUCUCCUCCCAACAGAAAUAUCAUUCAUUUUUUAUAGAAACAGACAUCAAAAUAGUGCCGCCAAAACAUCCAAAAGCACACUAUCUAAGAAUGUUGAGGGCACAAAAUGAUGAAAUGAUCAAAUCACAACAUUCAAAA